UACGAAGGGGGGCUAGCGUUGUUCGGAAUUACUGGGCUUAAAGGGUUUGUAGGCGGCCUUGUAAGUCAGGUGUGAAAUCCCUCGGCUCAACCGAGGAAUGGCGCUUGAUACUGCAAGGCUUGAGGGAGACAGGGGUAAGCGGAACUGAUGGUGGAGCGGUGAAAUGCGUUGAUAUCAUCAGGAACACCGGUGGCGAAGGCGGCUCUCUGGGCCGGUACUGACGCUGAGACGCGAAAGCGUGGGGGAGCAAACAGG
This 255-nucleotide ribosomal RNA is filed under the name uncultured bacterium. RNAcentral describes it as "partial 16S ribosomal RNA". It matches the Rfam family "Bacterial small subunit ribosomal RNA", at positions 524 to 776 of the family's 1533-position model. The record is from RNAcentral.